UUUUGGGGAUGAAGUUUAAAACUUAAAAAAAAAAGCAAUAUAAAAAAACUUUUUUUGUAAAAAUAGUUUCAAAAAGCAGUUUCGAAUUUCAAAAAGAAAAUAAGAAAAGCAAAAAAAAUUGAAAAAAAUAUUUGAACAAUAGUUUUAGAAAGAGAAAAAUUAUUAAAAAGUUCAAAAUUGAAAACAUAAAAUUCGAAACUAUAAAUUUUAUUUAUUUAUUUAUAUUUAUAUACCUAUAAAACAAGAAAAAUAAUAAUUUUUUAAUGAAAUUUCAUUUGGUCUUUUUUCUGUCAUAAAAUUUUUUGGCGACAAAUUUUGUAAAAAAGGCGAGAAUUGCCCUAUUAAAAACAAAUAUCAUUAAAUGAAACUGAAGUUAGGAAACAAAUAAUAAAGAAUUUGAAUUACUAGAAAAAGUUACACCCAUCUUGUUAUGAUUUGUUCAUUUCUUUUUCUGAUUGUCCAACUUUCAGUCUCUCUUAUUAUCCGAUGGACUAUAUACAGACGGGCGUGUAGAAAACUCGUUGGAUGGUUCCUUUAACGUUGACAGGCACUUUUUGCAAUUAUGACUCUUCAAAAGAAACUAAUAAGCAUACCUAAUCAUUAAUCUUACGUGUCGAGAAAGAGCAUCAUCUCUUUACCAAUUACAAUUUUGAG
This 654-nucleotide long non-coding RNA is filed under the name Brassica rapa (field mustard). Its description in RNAcentral is "long non-coding RNA (BRAP_LNC007318)". Lineage: Eukaryota; Viridiplantae; Streptophyta; Magnoliopsida; Brassicales; Brassicaceae. The record is from RNAcentral.